This 253-nucleotide ribosomal RNA is filed under the name uncultured bacterium. RNAcentral describes it as "partial 16S ribosomal RNA". It matches the Rfam family "Bacterial small subunit ribosomal RNA", at positions 524 to 776 of the family's 1533-position model. The record is from RNAcentral.
UACGUAGGGUGCGAGCGUUAAUCGGAAUUACUGGGCGUAAAGCGUGCGCAGGCGGUUUUGUAAGACAGAGGUGAAAUCCCCGGGCUCAACCUGGGAACUGCCUUUGUGACUGCAAGGCUUGAGUGCGGCAGAGGGGGAUGGAAUUCCGCGUGUAGCAGUGAAAUACGUAGAGAUGUGGAGGAACACCGAUGGCGAAGGCAGCCCCCUGGGCUAACACUGACGCUCAUGCACGAAAGCGUGGGGAGCAAACAGG